CAACGCUGGCCCUGCCUUCUUUUCUAUUCACUGGCUGUGGUAGCUCUCAAUUUUUUCUUUUUUGGGGUCUUGGGACCCUUUUACCCACUUAGAAGGCGUGGGGUCCCCAAAGAGCACUAUCUCCGUAGAUUAGAGUGAUCCAUGUUUACUGCAUUCAAAGUUAAAACCGAGAAAUUCUUGAAGCACAAGAAGACGCAAGCGCACACUCCAGAAGCCCUCAGUGGUGCCAACCCUGCACCCGUGAAGCUUUUGGAAAAUUCCACCAGGUAUCCAUGAGCGUCUCCUAGGGAAGCGGGCGGGUCACAGCUCACUGUGCUGUGAACGUGAUCCUGCGGAAUCCUGGCAAAGGACUUGGGGACCCUGGGAGGGUGACUGACCCCCCCUCAGAGCUGCUGACAUAACCAAUGCCUGUUGGUCCUGCUGUUUCACAGACAGUGCGGGCGGCGCCGCAUUCCCCUCCCGGGUCCUGAUGGGGAAGCGCGGUCAGCGGGUGAGUCACUCCGUAGCCGUGAGCAUCUGUCACCAGUGGCCAUGUGAGCGGACCAAAUGAGGUUCUCAGUGGGAAGCCCUCCCCAGAGAGCCGGCACAGACUGUGCCGAGACCGCCUGUCUAAGUGGGCUGGACGUCCAGGGUGUGACGAGAGAAGAGGGGAGAGACACGGAGAACCCACCUGUGUCCAGAAGAGGGUGAGGGUGACAGUGCGUGAUAAGAAGAUCUCAGUCGCUGGUCACUUGCUCUGCGGCUUCAGAGAGGUUAUUGGGCGACUGUCUGCCCACCCUUGGAAUUCACAACUGUCCGCCAGGGGGUGCUGGGGGUCCCUACACACCCCAGACCACAAGGAUCCCACCGUUAAACCUGUGCCAGGCACUGUGGUGUGUGUCACUUCGCUGCGUCCUCACAGUCACUUUGACAGGGAACAGCCCAGAGAAGUCAGUCAUUUUCCCAAGGUCACAAGGAACUAAGAGCCCCAUGACCCUGGGGUUCAAACCAAGGUCAGUCGACUUCAGGUCAGUCUGACUUUAGGAUUCAAGCUGUCAACCACAGUACAUGCUAUCUGGCUGAGGCUCUCUGCGCCAGGCAGGUGACCAGUGAGUUCACCCUGCUUCCUGAGACCCCAGUACUGCUCCUCCCUAUGACCAGA
This 1141-nucleotide long non-coding RNA is filed under the name Chinchilla lanigera (long-tailed chinchilla). RNAcentral describes it as "lncRNA (ENSCLAG00000027068.1)". Lineage: Eukaryota; Metazoa; Chordata; Mammalia; Rodentia; Chinchillidae. The record is from RNAcentral.